GAGGGUAUAGCUCAGUGGUAGAGUGUGUACUUAGCAUGCAUGAGGUCCUGGGUUCAAUCCCCAGGUCUCUUU
This 72-nucleotide transfer RNA is filed under the name Camelus bactrianus (Bactrian camel). It matches the Rfam family "tRNA". From Rfam's summary of the family: Transfer RNA (tRNA) molecules are approximately 80 nucleotides in length. Their secondary structure includes four short double-helical elements and three loops (D, anti-codon, and T loops). Lineage: Eukaryota; Metazoa; Chordata; Mammalia; Artiodactyla; Camelidae. The record is from Rfam by way of RNAcentral. RNAcentral also lists the same sequence under 2 other names.